This 668-nucleotide ribosomal RNA is filed under the name uncultured bacterium. Its description in RNAcentral is "bacterial SSU rRNA". It matches the Rfam family "Bacterial small subunit ribosomal RNA", at positions 38 to 754 of the family's 1533-position model. The record is from RNAcentral.
GGCGGCAGGCCUAACACAUGCAAGUCGAACGCCCCUUCGGGGGAGUGGCAGACGGGUGAGUAACACGUGGGAACCUACCCAGGAGUACGGAAUAACUCAGGGAAACUUGAGCUAAUACCGUAUACGUCCUUCGGGAGAAAGUUUUAACGCUCUUGGAUGGGCCCGCGUCGCAUUAGCUAGUUGGUGGGGUAAUGGCCUACCAAGGCUUCGAUGCGUAGCUGGUCUGAGAGGAUGAUCAGCCACACUGGGACUGAGACACGGCCCAGACUCCUACGGGAGGCAGCAGUGGGGAAUCUUGGACAAUGGGCGCAAGCCUGAUCCAGCCAUGCCGCGUGAGUGAUGAAGGCCCUAGGGUUGUAAAGCUCUUUCACCGGUGAAGAUAAUGACGGUAGCCGGAGAAGAAGCCCCGGCUAACUCCGUGCCAGCAGCCGCGGUAAUACGGAGGGGGCUAGCGUUGUUCGGAAUUACUGGGCGUAAAGCGCACGUAGGCGGGUAUCCAAGUUGGGGGUGAAAUCCCGGGGCUCAACCCCGGAACUGCCUCCAAAACUGGGUACCUAGAGUCCGAGAGAGGUGAGUGGAAUUCCCAGUGUAGAGGUGAAAUUCGUAGAUAUUGGGAAGAACACCAGUGGCGAAGGCGGCUCACUGGCUCGGUACUGACGCUGAGGUGC